Molecule: long non-coding RNA, 1512 nt
Filed under: Equus caballus (horse)
Lineage: Eukaryota; Metazoa; Chordata; Mammalia; Perissodactyla; Equidae
Description: lncRNA (ENSECAG00000045081.1)
Source: RNAcentral
GUUACAUUUUAGUAGAGUGAAAGUGGCGUUUUGGACUUUGUACUUGGGUCCCCUCCUGCCAUAUCUGGGAGAAGAUCUUCAGUCACAAUAAAUGGAAAAUGCAGCUUUGGACCUCCGACAGUUUUGGCUGCUAUCCAGUUCAUAGUCGUGAGUGCCUCUGGUUGUGCUGUGUGGGAUGCCACCUCAGCACGGCUUGAUGAGUGGUGCCAUGUUGCACCCAGGAUCCGAACUGGCGAAACCCUGGGCCGCUGAAACGGAGUGCGUGAACUUAACCACUCGUCCAGGGGGCCGGCCCCAGAGCGCAGCCCUGUCUUCAAACUGGAAGGAAGCCCAAUGUACAAAAUCCACACACCUGGGCUCUUUGGCUCAAGUAAGAGCAGCAGGAGCCCCUCACGUCCCAGAGCCGCUCAAGAAGCCCCCAGGAGCACGGUGCGAAGACCCCUCCUUUGGGCCAAGGUCUAGGGGCUUAAGGUCAUGUUAGCAUUUUUGUGCCUAGUGGUGGAGGGAAGAUUCAAGGGUGAUGAUAAAGCAUGGAGAUCUUCUGGAAGACUGGUUAGGGCCUGAGUUAGAGAAAUGAAGCUUGGGGUGAAAAGGAGAUGAAUGAACUGAGGAGUAUUUCAGGUUGAAAAUCAGUGAUAUUUGUUGAUUGAAUGCUGUGCGUGAGGGAGUAGGGUGGCUUGUGGGAACCAUGACAGGAGCUAACAUUUAUUGAGAUGGCACAUAUGCUCUACACUUUACAUUAUCACAGUGACUCCAGGAGGUGUGUACUCUUUCACCCCCAUUUUAAAGAUGAGAAAACUGAGCCGUGGAGUUCCGUAAAUAGUUGAGCUGGAUUCCAACCCAGGCAGUCACGCUCCAGCGCCUGCACUCAACUAUCUCUCGUAAUGUUGGUGACUGACCCUCGGAUAGAUAGUGGUCAGUGGUCAGCAGCAUUUGAAAGUCCAGAAGUGUCAUUGCUCUGCUGCUAAUCUGCUUGUGGCUUUGGACAAAGCAGUAACCUUGUAGUUUCUCAUCUAUAAAAUGGGGACAAUAAUCACCUAUGCUACUGAACUCAUGUGGUUUGAGAAGUUAUAAAGGACUUUUAUUAUUGCCCAAAUUCAAAGUCUAUCCUGCAGAUAAAUUCUACAUUUUUCAUAUAUUACUGCAAUAAAUUCAGGAAGCUAUCUGAAAAUUUCAGUUCAUUUGAAAUAUUUUAAGGUACCUUCCCCUAGCUUUUUAACUGGCUUGCUGAAAUUGUGUUAUCCAAGUAAUGACAUCUGAUUAAGCAAGCUUGACAUAUUGAGAGAUGAUUAUGGGGAACAAUUAUCAAUGUUAAUUACCUUUGCUAUAGGAUACAACAUAAAGCCCAGAUUCAUUCAUUAGUUUUCAUUAUUUAUCUGUUUGUUUGCUAUUCAUUUAUUUAACAAAUAUUCCUUGAGCGUCUACGAGGUGCCAAGCAUCAUAGUAAGUGCUAGUGAUGCCCUGGUGAUGAGAGUGGCCGAUGGCUGCCCUAUGGCCCUCCAUCAAGAAGAG